AUUGAACGCUGGCGGCAGGCCUAACACAUGCAGGUCGAGCGGAUGAAGGGAGCUUGCUCCUGGAUUCAGCGGCGGACGGGUGAGUAAUGCCUAGGAAUCUGCCUGGUAGUGGGGGAUAACGUCCGGAAACGGGCGCUAAUACCGCAUACGUCCUGAGGGAGAAAGUGGGGGAUCUUCGGACCUCGCGCUAUCAGAUGAGCCUAGGUCGGAUUAGCUAGUUGGUGGGGUAAAGGCCUACCAAGGCGACGAUCCGUAACUGGUCUGAGAGGAUGAUCAGUCACACUGGAACUGAGACACGGUCCAGACUCCUACGGGAGGCAGCAGUGGGGAAUAUUGGACAAUGGGCGAAAGCCUGAUCCAGCCAUGCCGCGUGUGUGAAGAAGGUCUUCGGAUUGUAAAGCACUUUAAGUUGGGAGGAAGGGCAGUAAGUUAAUACCUUGCUGUUUUGACGUUACCAACAGAAUAAGCACCGGCUAACUUCGUG
Molecule: ribosomal RNA, 484 nt
Filed under: uncultured bacterium
Lineage: Bacteria
Description: partial 16S ribosomal RNA
Rfam family: Bacterial small subunit ribosomal RNA
Source: RNAcentral